RNAcentral lists this ribosomal RNA (338 nucleotides) under uncultured bacterium. RNAcentral describes it as "bacterial SSU rRNA". It matches the Rfam family "Bacterial small subunit ribosomal RNA", at positions 29 to 351 of the family's 1533-position model. The record is from RNAcentral.
AACGAACGCUGGCGGUGUGCUUAACACAUGCAAGUCGCACGAGAAAGCCGUAGCAAUACGGUGAGUAAAGUGGCGCACGGGUCAGUAACACGUGGAUAAUCUACCUCCGGGAGGGGUACAACCUGUCGAAAGAUGGGCUAAUUCCCCGUAAGACCACGAAAUCUUAGGAUUUUGGGGUAAAAGGUGCCUCUACUUGUAAGUUAUCGCCUGGAGAUGAGUCCGCGCAUCAUCAGCUUGUUGGUGGGUAACGCCCACCAAGGCCAAGACGAUUAGCUGGUCUGAGAGGACGACCAGCGACACUGGAACUGAGACACGGUCCAGACUCCUACGGGAGGCAG